This is a long non-coding RNA of Scomber japonicus (chub mackerel), 350 nucleotides long. RefSeq lists it as uncharacterized. The record is from RefSeq and is a predicted model, not a curated record. NCBI's taxonomy places the organism in Eukaryota, Metazoa, Chordata, Actinopteri, Scombriformes, Scombridae. The transcript has 3 exons.
AGGGUCCGUCCACCAGAGUGGUUUACUUCAGUAACCUGCCGCUGUGUUUCUACACUGACGUCCAGUUCAUCGGACUGGUGAAAGGUUUCGGGACGGCGGUGCGCUACUUCCUGAUCCGCCGCCGCCGAGAGGGUUUCAUCGAGAUGUCGAGCUCGUCGGAGGCUGUGAGAGCUGCUUCAGAGCUCAGCUGUAAAUCUGUCUGCCUCAACGGCUCCAAACUCACCGUCCACAUCUCCCACAAAUACUCCCGGCUCACUGCAGGGUGGCCGGUUCAGUCAGACGAGGACAUGAACGACGAGCGAAGGAGUCAAAGCAGCAGCAGGAGGAGCGAGAGACGAAGCAAAUCCAAG